AAGGACGUCACGUGGCCAAAAUAAAGAUGACGGCUGGAUUGGACUCUUGCCUGAAGACUGUGGGAAAUAAGGUGAAGAAAGGAAGUUCGGAAAGGAUAAGUACAAUGCCAAGGUCACACAGCAAGGUAACUGAUAAGGUUGACUGGGCUCUGCUGGGCAGCUCUUGCAUCGGGUGUCUAGAGAUGCAGCCAUCUGAAGACAUGACUAGGCUGGACGUCCAAGAAGGAUUACUUAUAUGGAUGGCACUUGAUGCGG
This 255-nucleotide long non-coding RNA is filed under the name Homo sapiens (human). RNAcentral describes it as "HSALNT0069495". Lineage: Eukaryota; Metazoa; Chordata; Mammalia; Primates; Hominidae. The record is from RNAcentral.